CACGUAGGGGGCGAGCGUUGUCCGGAUUUAUUGGGCGUAAAGAGCUCGUAGGCGGUUUUGCAAGUCUGGUGUGAAAUUUCGAGGCUCAACCUCGAAACGCCACUCGAUACUGCCAUGACUGGAGUCCGGUAGAGGAGUGCGGAAUUCCUGGUGUAGCGGUGAAAUGCGCAGAUAUCAGGAGGAACACCAACGGCGAAGGCAGCCCUCUGGGCCGGUACUGACGCUGAGGAGCGAAAGCGUGGGGGGCAAACAGG
Molecule: ribosomal RNA, 254 nt
Filed under: uncultured bacterium
Lineage: Bacteria
Description: partial 16S ribosomal RNA
Rfam family: Bacterial small subunit ribosomal RNA
Source: RNAcentral